UACGUAUGGGGCAAGCGUUAUCCGGAUUUACUGGGUGUAAAGGGAGCGUAGGCGGCAUGGCAAGUCAGAAGUGAAAGCCUGGGGCUCAACCCCGGAAUUGCUUUUGAAACUGUCAGGCUAGAGUGUCGGAGGGGUAAGCGGAAUUCCUAGUGUAGCGGUGAAAUGCGUAGAUAUUAGGAGGAACACCGGUGGCGAAGGCGGCUUACUGGACGAUUACUGACGCUGAGGCUCGAAAGCGUGGGGAGCAAACAGG
Molecule: ribosomal RNA, 253 nt
Filed under: Eubacterium ventriosum
Lineage: Bacteria; Bacillati; Bacillota; Clostridia; Eubacteriales; Eubacteriaceae
Also listed under: 3 other names
Description: partial 16S ribosomal RNA
Rfam family: Bacterial small subunit ribosomal RNA
Source: RNAcentral